UACGUUCCCGGACCUUGUACACACCGCCCGUCAAGCCAUGGAAGCCGGGGGUACCUGAAGACGGUGAUCCGUUAAACUGGAAGCUGUCUAAGGUAAAACUGGUGACUGGGACU
This 113-nucleotide ribosomal RNA is filed under the name uncultured bacterium. RNAcentral describes it as "partial 16S ribosomal RNA". It matches the Rfam family "Bacterial small subunit ribosomal RNA", at positions 1367 to 1482 of the family's 1533-position model. The record is from RNAcentral.